This 409-nucleotide ribosomal RNA is filed under the name uncultured microorganism. RNAcentral describes it as "bacterial SSU rRNA". It matches the Rfam family "Bacterial small subunit ribosomal RNA", at positions 509 to 917 of the family's 1533-position model. The record is from RNAcentral.
CAGCCGCCGCGGUAAUACGUAGGGGGCGAGCGUUGUCCGGAAUUACUGGGCGUAAAGGGCGUGUAGGCGGCCUGUUAAGUCAGGGGUGAAAGACCGGGGCUCAACCCCGGGGGUGCCUCUGAAACUGGCGGGCUUGAGUGCUCUAGAGGGCAGUGGAAUUCCCGGUGUAGCAGUGAAAUGCGUAGAGAUCGGGAGGAACACCAGUGGCGAAGGCGGCUGCCUGGGGAGUCACUGACGCUGAGGCGCGAAAGCUAGGGGAGCAAACAGGAUUAGAUACCCUGGUAGUCCUAGCCGUAAACGAUGAGCGCUAUGUGUGAGGGGUAUCGACCCCCCUCGUGCAGUAGCUAACGCAUUAAGCGCUCCGCCUGGGGAGUACGGCCGCAAGGUUGAAACUUAAGGAAUUGGCGGG